Molecule: unclassified non-coding RNA, 725 nt
Filed under: Bombus terrestris (buff-tailed bumblebee)
Lineage: Eukaryota; Metazoa; Arthropoda; Insecta; Hymenoptera; Apidae
Description: misc RNA ENSBTSG00005020679.1
Source: RNAcentral
UUGAUUAACGUACGUUUCUACUCAAUAAUUUAUUACAAUCUUCUAUAACCUACUAUUUGAUUAUCUUUAUUGCGUUACCAUGUUUUUGGUUGUCACAUUUGCCGGUAGUUCGUAUAAUGAACUUUUAAAAACAAUUUGAUCUUGACCAUUGUUUCACUUUUAUACAAUUUGUUCUUUUAAUACAUUUAUUCUAUUGUUUUGGUCUAUCUUUGUUGAGAUUAUCAGCAGAUUAUGAGGAAACUUAGGAAACAUUAGAAGGACGCCAUGAAAUUAACAAACAUGGCGCGGAAUGAAAAAGAAUGGAAGGUGAUCGGCGAUUAAUUCAACAAGUUCUUGUGGAGAUUUGGUUUGAACAUAUUUUGCGCAUCGCGUCUUUUUCGUAUUACGCAGCUUUGUUUAACUGUAAAAAAGAGUGCGCCAUAUUUUAUCGGUACAAACUAUGUUCGAAACUAUAAUUGCGAACAUUCACUGUCUGAUUUUUACAAAUCAAUUAUAUUAUGAAAUCGUAAACAUUUAACAUUAAUAAUAUUUUUAACGUAUUAAUUAAAUAUUUGAUGUUGUUAAUAUAGUAGUAAUAUUUUCAUGAACAAACACUCGGAGUUGUUGGAAGAAAAAGAGAUAUGAAAAAAAUAUAUUGCUUCUUUUCUUUAACCCCUACCCUUUAAUAAAGUUUUUCUUUCAGAGAAUUUUUGUGAUCGCGCGCAAUGCGGUCGUUAGAGUCAAUG